AUGAACAAACCCACGGUGUUUCAAUUAAAUUCAAAAGUGAACAAAACAAGAAUUGAAUUGAAGUUUCAAUAUGAUAUUAAUAUCCAGACAUCCAAAAUGUUUUUAUAUCAAUCAAAUCGCCUCCUUCAUAUUUUCAGCAUAACAAUGAAACCAAAGAAAUAUCGAGCAUCAAAAUUAUUUUUCACAACUUAUCACAGAUUUAAACUCGAGAAACCAAUCAUGGCAGCAUAA
Non-coding RNA from Vicia faba (fava bean), 231 nucleotides. The record is from the annotation of a GenBank genome assembly. NCBI's taxonomy places the organism in Eukaryota, Viridiplantae, Streptophyta, Magnoliopsida, Fabales, Fabaceae.